Molecule: transfer RNA, 65 nt
Filed under: Epeorus alexandri
Lineage: Eukaryota; Metazoa; Arthropoda; Insecta; Ephemeroptera; Heptageniidae
Description: tRNA-Pro
Source: RNAcentral
CAGGGGGUAGUUUAUAAAAAUAUUAGUUUUGGGGACUAAAGAUCGGGCAAAAGCUCUACUCCUGA